Long non-coding RNA from Vicia villosa (hairy vetch), 1121 nucleotides. RefSeq lists it as uncharacterized. The transcript is spliced from 3 exons. NCBI's taxonomy places the organism in Eukaryota, Viridiplantae, Streptophyta, Magnoliopsida, Fabales, Fabaceae. The record is from RefSeq and is a predicted model, not a curated record.
UACCGUUUUUUGUAUUCGACUACUUUGAUACAUUAAUUAUAUGUCAACCCUUUUGUAACUUGGUUAUGCAUUUUAUGUGUAUAGCAAAUUCAAAACUUUGGGGAACCCUUCUUCUUGGUCAUACCCUAAUGUUUUGGUUGUUCCUUUUCAUCCUGAUCUUCAAGCUACAGUUCCAUCGACGAGUCUGAAGUUGAAGUUGUUUCUAAAGUUCGUAAGACUCCGACGGUUAAAUUUUCAAAUGAGUGUCAAACUUUUGAACCGGUAGAGGAAUUGCUAUCACCUGAAGCCUCCUUUGACCUUCGUCAACCGCAGGUAACUAAAGUUGAGUCACUGCAAGACUACUCUCCCGAUUGGGGCAGACUUUAUUGGAAAAUUCAUACUGAUCUAUGCAGCAACAAUAGGACCAAUAGUGAACAACAAAUACAAUGGAGCAUAAACACUUAUAGGAACUGCAACUUGUGCUGCUUUAUCAAUCAUGUUCAUUAUUCUCUCAAUCGGUCAUAUCUCAGGCUGAAUUAGCUGAAUGGUUGGAAAGAGAUGGUUUCAAAUCCAUCCUUGAUGUUGUUGGUGCAUAAAAUUUGUCCAUGUCGUUUGACAGAAGUUUAUGGACGAAUAAGUUUUUUUCUUACCUUCUCACAAAAUCAGAAUCUACUAGAAUUUCUACCAUUGGGGCAUUGGAUAUGCAACGAUCAUCAUCAGCAUCAUCAACAUCUUUAAAGGGUUCGAUGCAUUGGAGGUGUCUGCAGGAAACAGUUACGAUAACUGGAAGCACGCGUACACCGACAUUAUUGCAGCAUUGGGUGACAUUGCGGUAGUUUUAGAAGCUUACACUUGGAUCAUUGAGAUUGAAGAUGUACAUUAGAAUCUGAGAUUGAAGCUGCACAUGGAUCUCUAUGUAGCAUAAUUUGUACUCAGCCUAGAAGAAUAUCUGCAAUAUAUGUUUCUGAAAGAGUUGCGGCAUCCAUGAGUAGUCUUAGGCUUGGUUUAAAUGUUACAUUGUCACUGGAGUAAACCUUAUAUAGUGGUGUGAAAAUUUUCAUCUCUUUUAUUUUCUCAUUCUUUGCUGUGUAAUGACUAUUUAUGCUUCUGCAGGUUUUUAUUCUGGUAUGACAAAUUUUGAU